GAUGAACGCUGGCGGCGUGCCUAAUACAUGCAAGUCGAGCGAACAGACGAGGAGCUUGCUCCUUUGACGUUAGCGGCGGACGGGUGAGUAACACGUGGAUAACCUACCUAUAAGACUGGGAUAACUUCGGGAAACCGGAGCUAAUACCGGAUAACAUGUUGAACCGCAUGGUUCAACAGUGAAAGACGGUCUUGCUGUCACUUAUAGAUGGGUCCGCGCCGCAUUAGCUAGUUGGUAAGGUAACGGCUUACCAAGGCAACGAUGCGUAGCCGACCUGAGAGGGUGAUCGGCCACACUGGAACUGAGACACGGCCCAGACUCCUACGGGAGGCAGCAGUAGGGAAUCUUCCGCAAUGGGCGAAAGCCUGACGGAGCAACGCCGCGUGAGUGAAGAAGGUCUUCGGAUCGUAAAACUCUGUUAUUAGGGAAGAACAAAUGUGUAAGUAACUAUGCACGUCUUGACGGUACCUAAUCAGAAAGCCACGGCUAACUACGUG
Molecule: ribosomal RNA, 497 nt
Filed under: uncultured bacterium
Lineage: Bacteria
Description: partial 16S ribosomal RNA
Rfam family: Bacterial small subunit ribosomal RNA
Source: RNAcentral